Non-coding RNA from Cinara cedri, 399 nucleotides. NCBI's taxonomy places the organism in Eukaryota, Metazoa, Arthropoda, Insecta, Hemiptera, Aphididae. The record is from the annotation of a GenBank genome assembly.
GGAAACUUGGAAACUUCCAGUUUCUUAUUAAUUAACGGCAAAUACACGUCACGUCUAGGUCUAAUGACGGAGUAUAUAUACGUAUGUUUGAUCGUUACACACCAGUGUAGGAUGUUCUGCGGUCGACAGGAUCCGAUGCUUAACGAUUGCUGGCUAUACCUAUGCACUGCAGCUUCGUAAGUUAUGCAAAGUUCAUGUUCAAAUUUGUAAAUUGCGUACACGUAUUAUUAUUAUUAUUAUUGUUAUAGACUGACGAACGCUGCGAGACGAUAUUAACUUAGAUUCGAAGUUUUACACAAUUCGCAUACGUAAUAUUAUGGACGUUUUAGUUUGUACACGAUGUGUAUUCAUUUUCAGAGUUCAAGACACGAGACAGUACCUGAAUACAUCAAUAUAUUA